CUUUAAUCACUCAAGCGAAAAGUAAGAUAGCCGAGCUCAUGGAACUAUACAACGGCGUAGAGGAUAAACCAGACGAUCAACUAACGUCGAGAGAGUACCAGUAUGUUUUUUUGAAAGAAUACAACGAAACCUUCAACAAACUUGGGAAAGAUAUGGGGAAGUCAAUCGUGGACAGCUUGCAAAUCGAAGACCCGAAUGUUUACAGUAGAAAACAAAUCAAAGCCAUGAGCCGACAAAUUGUUGAAAAAAAUUCCAAGAAAGAAGACUAAAUAACUAUGCUCUAAUUUAUAACUACCAGGAUCGACGUAAGCCCUGUGUUGCAUCGAAACAAAAUUAUUAUCACUUCA
Uranotaenia lowii is the source of this 347-nucleotide long non-coding RNA. RefSeq lists it as uncharacterized. The record is from RefSeq and is a predicted model, not a curated record. The transcript is spliced from 2 exons. NCBI's taxonomy places the organism in Eukaryota, Metazoa, Arthropoda, Insecta, Diptera, Culicidae.